Molecule: ribosomal RNA, 253 nt
Filed under: uncultured bacterium
Lineage: Bacteria
Description: partial 16S ribosomal RNA
Rfam family: Bacterial small subunit ribosomal RNA
Source: RNAcentral
UACGUAGGGUGCAAGCGUUAAUCGGAAUUACUGGGCGUAAAGCGUGCGCAGGCGGCGAUGUAAGACAGUUGUGAAAUCCCCGGGCUCAACCUGGGAACUGCAUCUGUGACUGCAUCGCUGGAGUGCGGCAGAGGGGGAUGGAAUUCCGCGUGUAGCAGUGAAAUGCGUAGAUAUCGGAAGGACCAUCAGUGGCGAAAGCGACUUCCUGGACCAAUACUGACGCUCAUGUGCGAAAGCGUGGGGAGCAAACAGG